GAAACAAGCAUAAUGAAAUAAAUACCUUUAUUUAAGAUUCUGGAAAAUGAGGUAUUGUAGACAUCCAGAGCUGAUCGACAGGAACUGGGUUCUGUUCAUCUUGCGACACAUUUCUUCCCAUAGGAAAACCUCCCCCAUCACCCCAAUACUCAUAUUUUAAUAAUCUAGCAUCAUUGGGUCCUUUAAAUUCCUUUUUUACAGCUCAUCAUGCUACAUUCAUCAAAAACGUUUAGCAUGCUGAGGUUAUGUUCCCUUUGUGCUAAAUUUUAAUUUCUUAGAGGUUCAAGUAUAUACUAUGAAGAGUUUAUAUUCUCAGUAGCUCUGUGGUCUUUCCCCACCAAAUGACCUAACCCAUGUUUAAAUACUUCUCCUGUUAUACCAGGACACUAAGUCUCAAGAAGGAUAAGUGACUUUCUAACAGUUACACAGGGAAAAAAGUAGCUGCAAGGCUUCCUGGGCAUAUGUGAUGGAACCUUAAGUGACUGCCUCAAAUGCAAAAAGAGAAACAGUACCCUCUUCACAGACUUGUGAGAAUUAAACCACCAGCAGGAUCCCACUGCUCUAACUUCUAAGCCACUGCACAGACACCAGGUUGCUACAAGUUACGUGAGAACUGUGACCUCAUUAAAGGUUCUUGUGUAUUGUAAACUGCAGAGUGAUAGUUGGUGUAAGUCAGUUAAAAUACCAGCAUCAGAGCUUUACAGCUUCAGUGGCUUCUACCUGUACUUUUCAACCUGAAAAAAAGAAAAGUUUGAAAAUUACCUUUUGAACAAAUAGCAAAAAAAAAAAAAAAAAGGAUGUUGAGAUACAUAUUCUUUUCAGUUUGGGCAAAGGAUAUCCAGAAAAAGCUUUUUGUAUACGUUUCAUCACCUACAAUUUCUUUCCCCCGCUCCCGCGCCGGAAUUCAAAGAUGACCAAAGUAUCCAAAUUCCCUUAACUAUCUGAAAACAUCAGAUGGUAUCCCCAGCAGGGUCUAUCUAAAACGCAGGCCUGAAAGUUUCAUCAAACCUAAGGUAAAAUUUAAAUUUAUCACUCUGCUAUUAUCUAUAUUACAAAAGUGCUCAAACUCAAAUCUGGCUUAGCUGUGACUCCAGACAGGCUCCAAAGACGAGUUUUACCAUCUCUUCUUUGGGUUUUAUGGAGACUUACUUUACCCUUCUGUGUUAGCCUCUUAAGGCACUACGUCAGCCUUAAAAGGGCACAGGAAAGGGUGAUUUGCGCAUUUUGGGGGGCUAAGAUUUCCUGCACUUGUCUCUCAAUAUUCGUGGACCUCAGCAGUUUAACUGCUUUCCAAAACCUACUAGAAGCAGCUGUUCUUCCGGGUGGGGCCAGCCUGUUUAUAUUAAGGGAGAGCCGGAUUCUGGCCUUUGCACCAAACACGUGCCUGGGAACCCUCCGGUCGCCAUUGGCCACGUGCUCGGACCCGGGUCAUUUCACUUCUCUCAAUGGACGGGAACAUACCUGCGCUUAGAACUCAGGCCUCUGUACCCGGGGACAACGGACACAGGCUCUUUAGGCUCAUGGUCGGUCCGAGAUCGGGUUUCACUGCCGCGGGCUGGGCCGGGCCCGAACCGCUACAAAGUAGCCGCGGCUGC
RNAcentral lists this long non-coding RNA (1595 nucleotides) under Sus scrofa (pig). RNAcentral describes it as "lncRNA (ENSSSCG00030032304.1)". The record is from RNAcentral. Lineage: Eukaryota; Metazoa; Chordata; Mammalia; Artiodactyla; Suidae.